RNAcentral lists this ribosomal RNA (832 nucleotides) under uncultured archaeon. RNAcentral describes it as "bacterial SSU rRNA". It matches the Rfam family "Archaeal small subunit ribosomal RNA", at positions 36 to 865 of the family's 1478-position model. The record is from RNAcentral.
GAUUUGCAAUAGACAUGCGAGUAUUAAGUCUCUUAGGAAGGCUUUGCGAAAGGCUCAGUAACACGUCGCCAAACUGCCCUAUGGACAGGGAUAACCUCGGGAAACUGAGACUAAUCCCUGAUAGGUAUGGAAUCCUGGAAGGGGCCAAUACCAAAAUGGGCUUCGGUUCGCCAUAGGAUGUGGCAGCGGCUGAUUAGCUAGUAAGUGAUGUAAAGGAUCACUUAGGCAAUGAUCAGUAGGGGUUAUGAGAGUAAGCGCCCCGAGAAGGACACUGAGACACUGGUCCUAGCACUACGGUGUGCAGCAGUUAGGAAUUGUGCCCAAUGCGCGAAAGCGUGAGACCGCGAAUCUGAGUGCCAAGGAGAACCUUGGCUGUGAUGGAGUGUUCAAAGCUCCAACAGCAAGCAGAGGGCAAGGCUGGUGCCAGCCGCCGCGGUAAAACCAGCUCUGCGAGUGCCUAGCACGAUUAUUGGGCUUAAAGCAUCCGUAGCCGGGUAAGUAGGUCUCUGGUUAAAUCUGCAAGCUUAACUUGUAGGCUGUCAGAGAUACCGCUAACCUAGGGAAUAGGAGAGGUGAACGGUACUGCGAGAGAAGCGGUGAAAUGCGUUGAUUCUCGCAGGACCCACAGUGGCGAAGGCGGUUCACUGGAAUAUCUCCGACGGUGAUGGAUGAAAGCCAGGGGAGCGAAAGGGAUUAGAGACCCCUGUAGUCCUGGCCGUAANCGAUGAGGAUUAGGUGUUGGCCAUGNCUAANGGCCUGGUCAGUGCCAAAGGGNAACUAUUAAAUCCUCCNCCUGGGGGAGUACGGUCGCCAGGCUGAAACUUAAAUGAAU